AAAAAAAUUCUUUUUGAUUGGAAAUUUUUACAAAAUAUACAUAUAAACAUAUCAGAGAACAUGAUAAAAUUAGAAUGAGGUUAAAUUUAAAUAAUAUAUGAUUAACAGCCAUCAAAAUUGGAGAAUGCUUCUGGAAGAUAUAUUUUAUUGCCCUUGUUUGCAAGUCACUCCCACUGAUGCACCACCUCCAAAUGACCUUGGACUAUCUCAGCUUACAAAAGCUACCUCUCUGUUUAUAAAUGAUACAGGAACUGCAUUUGUUUUGAUGUCAGGAAAAGAUUUAGGGUCGUCUGAAAUGCGAUCUCUUUAUUUGUUUACAUAAUUUUGAUAAGGAGAUAUCGGAUUACAUAAUAAUAUAUUGAAAGACAGCAACAUAACAUAGAAAAAUGAUAUUUUUAUAUUAUAGAGUAGAGACUUGUCAGAAAUAAAAACUUUAAUUAAAUUAGAUGAUGUAGAUUAAAAA
RNAcentral lists this long non-coding RNA (463 nucleotides) under Androctonus crassicauda. The record is from RNAcentral. Lineage: Eukaryota; Metazoa; Arthropoda; Arachnida; Scorpiones; Buthidae.